This 318-nucleotide ribosomal RNA is filed under the name Micarea soralifera. RNAcentral describes it as "SSU rRNA". It matches the Rfam family "Bacterial small subunit ribosomal RNA", at positions 421 to 745 of the family's 1533-position model. Lineage: Eukaryota; Fungi; Ascomycota; Lecanoromycetes; Lecanorales; Micareaceae. The record is from RNAcentral.
GAUGAAGCAGUCUCGAUUUAAUCGAAUAAAGUUCUGGGUAAAAUUAUGAUAAUGACAUUGUUUACCUGUGAGUCUUGACCAAAUUACGUGCCAGCAGUCGCGGUAAUACGUAGAAGACUAGUGUUAUUCAUCUUUAAUAGGUUUAAAGGGUACCUAGACGGCAUAUUAAGCCUUAAUUGGAACUGACAUGCUAGAGUUACUUAUGAGGAAGUUUUAAUGUACUAGAGGUGUAGAGAUGAAAUUCAGUCAUACCUUUUUUCUAACGAAAAAUUUCGGCACAGGUGUAGGUGAAAACAUCUUCUUAUGGGAUAACUGACG